UACGUAGGGGGCAAGCGUUGUCCGGAAUCAUUGGGCGUAAAGAGCGUGUAGGCGGCCAGAUAAGUCCGCUGUGAAAUCUCGAGGCUCAACCUCGAGCUGUCGGCGGAAACCAUCUGGCUAGAGUCCGGAAGAGGAGAAUGGAAUUCCCGGUGUAGCGGUGAAAUGCGCAGAUAUCGGGAAGAACACCCGUGGCGAAGGCGGUUCUCUGGGACGGUACUGACGCUGAGACGCGAAAGCGUGGGGAGCGAACGGG
Molecule: ribosomal RNA, 253 nt
Filed under: uncultured bacterium
Lineage: Bacteria
Description: partial 16S ribosomal RNA
Rfam family: Bacterial small subunit ribosomal RNA
Source: RNAcentral